GACGAACGCUGGCGGCGUGCUUAACACAUGCAAGUCGAACGGAAAGGCCCUGCUUUUGUGGGGUGCUCGAGUGGCGAACGGGUGAGUAACACGUGAGUAACCUGCCCUUGACUUUGGGAUAACUUCAGGAAACUGGGGCUAAUACCGGAUAGGAGCUCCUGCUGCAUGGUGGGGGUUGGACAGUUUCGGCGGUUGGGGAUGGACUCGCGGCUUAUCAGCUUGUUGGUGGGGUAGUGGCUUACCAAGGCUUUGACGGGUAGCCGGCCUGAGAGGGUGACCGGCCACAUUGGGACUGAGAUACGGCCCAGACUCCUACGGGAGGCAGCAGUGGGGAAUAUUGCACAAUGGGCGGAAGCCUGAUGCAGCAACGCCGCGUGCGGGAUGACGGCCCUCGGGUUGUAAACCGCUUUCGCCUGUGACGAAGCGUGAGUGACGGUAAUGGGUAAAGAAGCACCGGCUAACUACGUG
RNAcentral lists this ribosomal RNA (468 nucleotides) under uncultured bacterium. Its description in RNAcentral is "partial 16S ribosomal RNA". It matches the Rfam family "Bacterial small subunit ribosomal RNA", at positions 28 to 507 of the family's 1533-position model. The record is from RNAcentral.